AAAACUGGCCAUUACCUGACUCUCUCUGUUGCUCCUGUGGGAAUGUAUCUAGUCUAUAUCUGACUCUCAGCAAGUUUCUUUCUCUUCUUUUUGUUGUGUGGAGAUGCAAACUGCAAACUUUCCUUUCCCAGACCAACAGAGGGUCUUUGCAGCUAUUCACAAUCAUUUGCAAGUGGCUUACCUGUGUCCACUGAGUCCUUCCUUUUCAUUCCAUCAUCUUCUAGUCCUUUCCAGUUCCUCAGGAGAACCAUGGCUCCUGGAUGCCUCUGAUUGUCAUGCAACCUUGCAAAUUUGCAAUUUGAAGCAAACUGAUCAAGUGCAGAUAAUAGUUUCCUGUGGACAAUAAAUAUCAGUCAGAGCCUGACUAGCCUUCCACAGAGUCAGGAUAUUUCUGUAACAUAAAUCUUAAAAGCCUAAAAGGCAUAAAAAUAAUUUGUAUUUUCUUCCUUUUUCAGAGAAUGCUGAACUUCAGUUGUCACUGGGAGUCCCAGCAGGCACAUCAUAUUUUCUAUCCUGCAGGCAUGGGUUUGACUUACCUGUUUCCUCACAAAACUAUGUUGGAGUCAGCUUUAUUAUAAGUAAAUUUCCAUGUGGAAGGAAAGAAGCACAGAGGAAAAUGCUGGAACCUGACUGCCCUCUGCAAAUGUCCAUUGAUUAAUUCAGUUAUCUUCAUGAUCCUAGGAUGUUCUGAUUUCAGAGUACCACUGCAACAUAAUAAAAAAACAGCUUGCUGCUAUUUAUUUCUUUAUUGCUAGUAACAGUAAGGCGCACAGUGCAAAGAGAGGAAAUUGUCUCUUGGUAAAGAUUAAAACUUUAAUUUGGGACCUUGUUCGAAGACAUGGUCUAAUUAAAAAAAAAUUCUAUUAAAGAGCUACAAAAUGA
Molecule: non-coding RNA, 882 nt
Organism: Taeniopygia guttata (zebra finch)
Lineage: Eukaryota; Metazoa; Chordata; Aves; Passeriformes; Estrildidae
Source: RefSeq, a predicted model, not a curated record